UACGGAGGGGGCAAGCGUUAUUCGGAAUUAUUGGGCGUAAAGGGCGCGUAGGCGGCUUUGUAAGUCGGGGGUGAAAGCCUGUGGCUCAACCACAGAAUUGCCUUCGAUACUGCAUGGCUUGAGACCGGAAGAGGUUAGUGGAACUGCGAGUGUAGAGGUGAAAUUCGUAGAUAUUCGCAAGAACACCAGUGGCGAAGGCGGCUGACUGGUCCGGUUCUGACGCUGAGGCGCGAAAGCGUGGGGAGCAAACAGG
This 253-nucleotide ribosomal RNA is filed under the name uncultured bacterium. Its description in RNAcentral is "partial 16S ribosomal RNA". It matches the Rfam family "Bacterial small subunit ribosomal RNA", at positions 524 to 776 of the family's 1533-position model. The record is from RNAcentral.